GGUAAGUUGCCCAGCCUAUGGACAUAUUCAGUUGCCAUUAGCAAUCUUGAUGUGGCACGUUAUCAAAACAAGAAUAGUGCUAGCAUCUUCCCUAAAUUAAAACACCAUCAUCAAUUAUGCAAUGCGACAUAGGUUAAAUUUUACAACUCCAACCUAGUGCUUGUCGCCAGCGUCUUCCCCUUUUCCACCUCUUCCUCAAGACAAUGGUCCUAACCAUGUCAUCUCCAUAGCCUGCAAGGAAGAAUUUUGUGAAACGAUAAGCCAUCUACAAAGCCGAUGAACACUCCUCUUGUGCCCUUCGCCUCACUCAACGAGCCAUCCGUCUCAAUCCUGGCAAUUACACUUGUUAAUGAAGGUUUGGCAUUUUAGGCGACUCACUCGAAGCAAUUAAUGCCGAUUUGGACAAGGAGUUGGAUUAGAUUGCUAAUUCUAACUCUAAAAACUAUUAGUUAUGGAGGGCUACUGUUAAGUAUUUUGGCAACUACAUCAAACCAUACUUGAUCAUUACUUGCGACGUAUCAAUGAAUGAUUUGC
Molecule: long non-coding RNA, 534 nt
Organism: Gossypium arboreum
Lineage: Eukaryota; Viridiplantae; Streptophyta; Magnoliopsida; Malvales; Malvaceae
Exons: 3
Source: RefSeq, a predicted model, not a curated record